CACAGAUAGACAACUGAAUCCCUGUGGUGCUAAUGUUACUAUCUACAUUAGAAAACAAAUCCAUAGUAAACACUGAAGACUACUGAGAGUCACUCUCAGAUGAGCCAAGCUGCAAGAAAGACUCUCAAAGGAGUUCAACUGCCUGGAAGAAACCAGCCAAGCAACCUGAAAGCAGCAGAAAUGAGCCUGGCUGCCUGGAUGAGCUUUAGACCAACUGAGGCACAUGGAAGGGACACUCUCCAACCCAUUGAGCUGCCUGCAGGCUGUUCAGUAUGCUCCAGAUUCCCAGCUUUUGUGAGCUGUCACCCAUGCUGUGGUGGGCUUUGGUGAGGCAGCUGCUACUGUAUGUAAACCCCCACCCAUAUUCAUGUAAGUAACCCCAAUAAAACUCACAAAUUCACUAAGUUGGAC
This 411-nucleotide long non-coding RNA is filed under the name Cricetulus griseus (Chinese hamster). RNAcentral's name for it is "lncRNA (ENSCGRG00015039135.1)". Lineage: Eukaryota; Metazoa; Chordata; Mammalia; Rodentia; Cricetidae. The record is from RNAcentral.